RNAcentral lists this unclassified non-coding RNA (391 nucleotides) under soil metagenome. Its description in RNAcentral is "partial contains 5.8S ribosomal RNA, internal transcribed spacer 2, and large subunit ribosomal RNA". The stretch from base 1 to 122 matches the Rfam family "5.8S ribosomal RNA", at positions 35 to 154 of the family's 154-position model. The record is from RNAcentral.
GAUGAAGAACGUAGCGAAAUGCGAUACUUGGUGUGAAUUGCAGAAUCCCGUGAACCAUCGAGUCUUUGAACGCAAGUUGCGCCCGAAGCCAUUAGGCCGAGGGCACGCCUGCCUGGGCGUCACACGUCGUUGCCCCCCCAUCUACUCCUUCGGGAUUGCGGGGGGCGGAUGAUGGCCUCCCGUGCGCCUCGUCGCCCGGUUGGCAUAAAUGCCAAGUCCUCGGCGACGCACGCCACGACAAUCGGUGGUUGCGAAACCUCGGUUGCCCGUCGUGUGCGGUCGUCGCGCAUCGAGGGCUCGAAAAAAUUGCCGGGCUCCGGCUCGGCUUUCAACGCGACCCCAGGUCAGGCGGGGUUACCCGCUGAAUUUAAGCAUAUCAAUAAGCGGAGGA